RNAcentral lists this ribosomal RNA (364 nucleotides) under uncultured bacterium. Its description in RNAcentral is "bacterial SSU rRNA". It matches the Rfam family "Bacterial small subunit ribosomal RNA", at positions 29 to 396 of the family's 1533-position model. The record is from RNAcentral.
AUUGAACGCUGGCGGCAUGCCUUACACAUGCAAGUCGAACGGCAGCACGGGGGCAACCCUGGUGGCGAGUGGCGAACGGGUGAGUAAUACAUCGGAACGUGCCCUGUAGUGGGGGAUAGCUCGGCGAAAGCCGGAUUAAUACCGCAUACGACCUACGGGUGAAAGCGGGGGAUCGCAAGACCUCGCGCUACAGGAGCGGCCGAUGUCAGAUUAGGUUGUUGGUGGGGUAAAGCCACCAAGCCGACGAUCUGUAGCUGGUCUGAGAGGACGACCAGCCACACUGGGACUGAGACACGGCCCAGACUCCUACGGGAGGCAGCAGUGGGGAAUUUUGGACAAUGGGCGCAAGCCUGAUCCAGCCAUG